Long non-coding RNA from Cucurbita moschata (crookneck pumpkin), 3045 nucleotides. RefSeq lists it as uncharacterized. Lineage: Eukaryota; Viridiplantae; Streptophyta; Magnoliopsida; Cucurbitales; Cucurbitaceae. The record is from RefSeq and is a predicted model, not a curated record. The transcript is spliced from 6 exons.
GUUCCCUCCGGCCCAUCGCGAGAGAAAACAUCCUUGCCUGGCUCUCUUCUAUUGAGGAAAAAGAUGCAGAAGGCAGUGGAUGUAGCACUCUCCCCGUUCAAGAUUCUGAUCGCACGUCUAUCUGGUCUUCCUCCAUCAUAGUUCCUCUAUUUUCCGCUCUAACUCUCCGAAUGCUGUUCCGUUUCAUGUGCGCAUUUAUAAUCGAAUUUCUGAUCCAUAAGUGCAAUUCUCGAUCGAUAGGUUUCCGCACCUUUCGCCGGGAGGUAUGGUAGAGUUCCGCAUCCCGAUUCUCGCUUGGAGGAUUGCAUUUCCGAGUGUGGAGGAUUCACAUUACUUAGUUAAGGAGGUAGUUCGAAUGAAGAUUCUCAUGUAUGCUUCCACUUUGGUUUAACAGAUCAUAGGUCUUUCUCCAUCUCUGUUAUAUUUAUAUAUUCAAAAAGGCUUAUUGGAUUUAAUGAAUAUUAACAUUUUGAAAAUUGAAAUUUGUUCGUACUUUUAGCAUUUCAUUCUGUAUCAUUGUCUUUCAUGUUGAUGUAUGAUGUCCUUCAAGAGGUUUGAUUUCCUAUGAGUGAGUUAUAUCCAUGGUUUUUCGGAAAAGUAUCCUUGAAGUUAUUAUAAUGGAAGGAAGGGUGUGAUAUCUCGUUAGAAAUUACCAUUGUUAAUGUAUUGGUAGUUUGAACUCAUGACAUAUUUUUUUCUAGAAAAUGAGCACUUCUUUCUUUCUUUCCUUGUUUGAGAACCUAAAUUUAUCUCCACAUUCAAGAAUAUGAUUGUCUUACGGAUAUCGCAGUAGCUUUCUAAAGUAGUUUAGUUGAGUGAUUGCGGAUCGCGUUAGUUUCAAUAAUUAGAAGUCCAAUUCCAUUAUUAGUGAAUUUGUUUUCAAUUAUAUCAAUCAUAAAAUUUGCAAAUUUAUUUCUAUUGGUGGCUAAUAGAUAAGGGCACGAUAAUAAUCAGAACUUUGUGAUUAUUCGAGCCAUUUUUGUCCACUACUGAUUUUUCUCAUAUUCCUUAGUUCUUGCGAACUAUUUAUGCUGCCAUGGAAUAGUUCAACUUAUAACCUUGUUCAUUCUAGAAACUAAAUGCAAGAGAAUCCAUAUUCUCUGGAAGUUAAGUCACAAACCCAUUGAAAUUGUAUGGUUUAUUUGCAAGUAUUUUGCUUUCCAAAUUGUUUUCCUGCAGAUCACUCAAUCUGUUGUCAACAUUCCUCAAGUCCUCUGUGUAACGGUGCCAUUGCGGAGACUUCAGAUGGGAAAAUUGUUUUGUUGCAAAGGAGUAGCAAUGUUGAUGAAUUUCCAGGAGGCCAUCUAGAGCCCCAAUAGCUUGGAAUAGCAUACCAUGAUGAUGUGAAAGGUUUUGCAGAUUCCAAUACCAUUAACAGAAGGCUUUCGUGGAAGAUGUUUGAAAGAAUUACCCGAGAAGUUGUUGAACAUAUGAGUACAAACAGAAUCCCUUAACAGCCAAGUCUCGAAGAUAAUUAAAUGUCAGACCAGCUGUUUUCUUCUUCAUAAAGAGUAUUCUGGAUUCUGUUAAAUUCAGGAACUGUAUACCAGUGCACAAGAUGAGUCUGCUCAACUUUAUACAGUUUCAUUGGUGAAGAGAGACGCGGUAUGGAAGUUGAAACAGAGAAGCUUAAGUGGACAUGAAAGGACGACUAGAGAUUCAAACUAAAGCAACUAGGAUUAAUCCAAGCAGGAAGGUAUGCCUUGUAUCUCAAUUAUCUUUCAUGGCAUUAAACGUGCUAGAUUAUUUGUUUAUGCCUUGAUUUUUUAUUAAAAAAAUGGGUCGAAUAUCACUAAGAAUCUUCCUUUUCUGUCAUGUCAUUUUUACUUUGACAAAAAAAGGUUCAGUAGGUCUAUCUAUUUAUCAGCAUCAACCAAUAAAAACAGACCAAAUAUAAAAGGAAGAAUUCCUACUUAUUUAUGGCAGUAACUAUUUUGAGUCCAUGAUCUUUCUUUCUCAUAUUUUGUUGGCAUAAUUACAUUUUCAUGCGGUUGAUGAGAUUAUUGAGAGUGAGCCCCACAUUGGUUAAUUUAGUUAAUUUAGUGGAAGAUCAUCGAUUUAUAAGCGAGGAAUACUAUCUCCAUAUAAGGACUUUUGGAGAAGUCCAAAACAAAGCUACGAAAGCUUAUAGUCAGAGUGGACAAUAUCAUAUGUGAAAAGUCGUGAUUCCUAACAAGAACACACUUCUCUAUAGGUUUAAUACUGUGGACAUGUCGGUCAAUACACUAGGAGUUAUAGCAAUGGAUUGUCAAAGCAGAUGGAUUAAUUUUUUUUCUUCUUAAGAAAAUGUAAGCAUUUGACUAUCCUCUAAGCCCAUCAUUUAUCAUCACCCAUGUGAAGACUAGUUUCUAUAGCUCAAGGACGACAAUUUCAUCCCUUCCCAUGGUAAAUAACCCAUACAAAUAAGUCAUGCUGUAAAUGUCAAAACUUGAUCGAUUAAAAUUGGUAGGUGGUUGACUCUUGAAAGUGAUAGAUAAAAAAAAGGAUGGCAGCAGUUGUUUACUUUUGUGCAUUAUUAAAGCAAUCUACCACUGUGAAAAUUGAACUGCCUCAAGUUUCGAAAGUGACCGUUUUGGUUUCUCACACAGAGGUUAAGACGAUUGGAUGAAAAUAAAGCAACCUUUGUUGGCCAAGUCCACAGUCAACAACCCAUUACUGGAUUUUUAACAUUUGUGGACUUUUCUUUCCCCCAUCCUUUUAUUUUAUUUCUUAAAUUAACAUAAUGUCUAUUUGUUGAUGAGCAUGGAGGGCCCCACAUGGGCAAGUCACUUCGUCUUCAUGUGAAGUAUAUUGGCCCAAAUUCGAAGAACAACCGAGCUCGCCACACGUGAGGUUAGUUGCCUUUAAAAGAUUCCUUUUACAUUACGCGUGUAACGCACCAAUUGAGGAUCCCAUUUGUUUUCAUUUUUAUUCCUUUUUAUAGAAUACAACUUGUGUCUUAACUAAUUAAAAAAAAAAUUCAAACAUACUUUUUAAAAUCAUCUAAUUUCUAUUAAAUAUAUAAUGUUUUACGACUUUAAUAGUACUUGAUAGGCUCACUCAUUA